CUCAUAUAUAAACAAGGGCAAGAAGGAAGUGGGCCCCUUCUCUCUUCCUCCAGAGUCACCAUGUGAUCCCGGGAUGAGGAUGCCAAUGGCAGGCUUCCUAAAUAAGAUAAGUCUUAUAAAAUAUAUAGAUUUAUGAUAAUUAAGACUGAGCUAACAAAUGAGAAAUCCUAGUCGUUGGCCAAGCAGCAUUUGUACCUAAUAGAAGUCUCUGUGUAUUAUUUGGGGCCCUAACUCAGCGGGCAGAACUCGGGCGGCUGGCGGGAAGUGCCCACGUGGCGGUAGGGCUCAGGUGGCUUUUGGAGGAAAGAUUUAUCAUAACAGAGUAGGGGAAGUAGAGGGAGAUGGAGUAGGGGAAGUAGAGGCAAGUGGGUGUGAUUAACAUACAUAAAUAUAUGGACCUUUUAAAGAACAAAAGGUGCAAUUUUUAAAAGCCUCAUUGUCUUUUCACCUAGUAUAAAUAAUACUGUUGUUAAUAAUAAUGCAGAGAAGGUAUUUCUGAUAUUAAGGGAUAAAAUAACCUAAAAGAUAAUUGGUAACAAAGACCAGCAGACAUAAGGAGCCGCAGAUCUGAAUUAGUACUGUUAGCUCGAAUCUGAAUGAAAUCAUGAAUUUUCCGUGAAAGUCAGUUUUUCUUUUUAGUAAUUGGACUCCAUGAAACUCUGAAUCUCUAGGGUUUUGUAUUUUUAUUAUUAGCUGUAUUCAUAGGAAAUGUACUCAAUGAGACAAGAAUAGAGGAGAAUAGAGCAUUUGAAAUCUGUGAUGCAUCAGCACCUCAUUUGUUACCUUGCUGUCACCAUCACCGAAGGGAAGGAUGGGAGAAAGGUGGAAUUAAGCAGAUUUAGUUUGCACCUCUAAGAGCAAAGCCCACACUGUUAGCAUUCUUCACCCACUAAGGACAACUAGUAAAUACUAGGCACCCUCCCUUGCCUACCAGAUGCUCCAUCUCACAGGUGAAGACACAGAAAUGCAAACAAAUUAGGUACCACAAGAAAAGCAUGGUGGCAGCCUCCCUGGUGUCCAUGAACACUUAUGUGAAGCAAUCAGACUACUGUGGUCCCAGGAGAAAGAUGUUAGGUAAUGUCUCUGGGACACAUUUGCUCUACAAAGCUUUUAAAGUUCCCUCUUCUGGAAGCAUUCCAGAUGGAGACCCUUCUCCAUCUUCCAGCAAUGAUGCAUUGUAACCUAGUCCCAAAAUGACAGUGCCAAGGACUGGGGAAGAUGACUCAGUUAGUAAAGUGCCUAUUAUGUAAGCAUAAGGACCGGCGUUUGGAGUACCAACAUAAAAACCAGGUGUGGCAGCACCAGGGAGGUAGAAACAGGUGUGGAUCUAGGUUGCUCCUUGGCUAGCCAGCCAAAUACAUGAGUUCCAGGUUCAGUGAAAGACAGUCUGAAAAGAGAAUGUAGAGAAUGAUAGAAGUAAACAUCAAAUGUUAACCUCUGGCCUCCACACACAUGUACAAAACCACAUACAUUCAUGUAUGCCUACACACACACACACAUGAAAGAUGGAUGGAUAGAUAGAUGGAUGGAUAGAUAGAUAGAUAGAUAGAUAGAUAGAUAGAUAGAUAGAUAGAUAGAUAGAAUGUCAAGGCAAAAGAAGGGGCAAAGAGAAGAUUCAUGAUGGCUGGUCAUGGUCUUUUCACUAAGGGAUCCACUCUCCAACCCACAGCCAGCCCAACUCCUGGACUUUGUGUGCUGUGAGAUGCUUGGGAGAUAGUAGAUUUCCUAAGUCUACAGCAUCAUGAGUCAGAUUCUAGUUUCCCCUCAUCAAAAGCAUUCUGGGUUAUGCAACAAAAAGGCAGUAUCCAAACUCAAGUCUGUGUAAUUACCAAACACCUGGGCAUCCCCUGAGUCCUCUGAUGGGAGAGGAUAUCUCUACAGGGCAUACCGUUCUGCCUGGUUGCCAAGUAACAGUCUCAGUGGUCCUCAGCCACAGCAUGCAUACAUUCCUGGCUUUGCCUUUGAUUAGCUGUGAGAUCAUGGGUAAGUUUCUUCUCUUCUUUAUACCUCAUCUGAGAAAUGGGGCCAGUGAUAGCGCCUGCCACACAGGACUUCCAAGACAAGACACUUUGAGGCAGUAGAGAUACUUGGUGACUCAGAGUUCACAGACAAAAUAACACAGCAUAUGCUAUUUUUUCCUUGAUUUUUGCUCCUGUCAACUUUUGUCUUUUUUUGUGCCUUUGUUUAUUUGUUUUCCUUUGGAAGUAUUAGCAAUCACUUGCUAGGCAAGCACUCUACCAGUGAGCUCUCUCUCUUUCUCCCCACCCCCCUCUGUCCAGUUAAACAUUUUUAAUUAGUUAGCUGUCCUCGUUCAUUUCAAGAAAACAUUAGAGGAAGCAUUUAAAUGUUACUCAUAACGCCUCUGCUAUUUUCAGAAGUGUUUCCCAAAGGUCCAUCUGUCAAAGGCGUAGUUGUAGACUGUGCAGCUAUUGGGAAGUGAUGGAACCUUUAGGAGCUGGGACAUGGAGGGGUAUCACUAAAAGGAGUAUUAUUAGAACUGGCCUCUCCUACUGCAGCCACCAUGAGCCCCUCCCACAAGUACUGUGCUACCACAGGCCUGAAACAGACAAGCCAGAUUGGAUCUAUAUGUACCCCCCACUAAGAGUGCAUAGAUGGCUCAAGGAUGCUGUCUUAAAUGGAUGGUGAAGCCCAGCUUCACAUGCUCUUCGAGAGGCACACUGCAGUUUGGCUUAGACAAACUGGGUGAUGCCCACCCACCUUGAAGAGAGUCAUCUGCUCUGCUCUCCCCAUUGACUCAAAUGGUGAUCUCCUCCAGAAGUACCAUCAGAGACACAUCCAAAUAAUUUUGGUAUCUUUAGUGUCUCUCUGGGUAUUCUUCAUCCCAGUCAAAUUGACAAUAAAAUGAACCAUCAUACUAAGAGCGUGGAAACAUCAAAGAGAGCCGCAGUUGAGAGCAAUGGAACCUCAGAGUGGAUACAUUCAUUGACUGGGUCCCUCUUUAAUUUGCACCAGUCUCCAAAGAUUCAUCACAGAAAUCAUUGUGGAAACUAUACCACCAAGAGUUUAUCAUUUGAUUUUUUUUUAUAACUUUUCAACAUCACAUUUGGUUUAUACCUUUCAUUUGGUUGGUUUUUCUGUGUUUUAGAAGCAGGUUGAGUUAAAAUGGAAGAAUGAUGGCUGUGGCAAUGUAUAGUGAUUUCAAUGUACCCAGGAGUCAUGUUGGCAAGUGACAUGAAAAGUAGAUACCUUGCUCUACAAUUAAGCCCAGUACAAGCAAUUUCAUUUCCACAAAACAUCACCACACACAUGAAGUGGAUGUUGUCAGGUUCAAUGUUUUCUUGUUUGCAUUUAACUGGUAAAUAUUUUCCUGAUGGUGUAAUGGAUAUGAGUGUGUGGAAUGUACAGCUCUCUUCUG
This 3376-nucleotide long non-coding RNA is filed under the name Cricetulus griseus (Chinese hamster). RNAcentral describes it as "lncRNA (ENSCGRG00015032107.1)". The record is from RNAcentral. Lineage: Eukaryota; Metazoa; Chordata; Mammalia; Rodentia; Cricetidae.